RNAcentral lists this ribosomal RNA (19 nucleotides) under Channa argus x Channa maculata. RNAcentral's name for it is "partial 16S ribosomal RNA". Lineage: Eukaryota; Metazoa; Chordata; Actinopteri; Anabantiformes; Channidae. The record is from RNAcentral.
ACCGAACAGGUAGCCCCAC